RNAcentral lists this transfer RNA (72 nucleotides) under Toxocara canis (dog roundworm). It matches the Rfam family "tRNA". From Rfam's summary of the family: Transfer RNA (tRNA) molecules are approximately 80 nucleotides in length. Their secondary structure includes four short double-helical elements and three loops (D, anti-codon, and T loops). Lineage: Eukaryota; Metazoa; Nematoda; Chromadorea; Rhabditida; Toxocaridae. The record is from Rfam by way of RNAcentral.
GGGUCAUUGGCUCAGCGGUGGAGCCUUCGCCUUGUAAGCGAAAAUACCCGGGUUCGGGUCCCGGCAGAUCCC